UACGUAGGGUGCAAGCGUUGUCCGGAAUUAUUGGGCGUAAAGAGCUCGUAGGCGGUUUGUCGCGUCGGGAGUGAAAACUCAGGGCUCAACCCUGAGCGUGCUUCCGAUACGGGCAGACUAGAGGUAUGCAGGGGAGAACGGAAUUCCUGGUGUAGCGGUGGAAGUGCGCAGAUAUCAGGAGGAACACCGGUGGCGAAGGCGGUUCUCUGGGCAUUACCUGACGCUGAGGAGCGAAAGCAUGGGGAGCGAACAGG
Molecule: ribosomal RNA, 254 nt
Filed under: uncultured bacterium
Lineage: Bacteria
Description: partial 16S ribosomal RNA
Rfam family: Bacterial small subunit ribosomal RNA
Source: RNAcentral